RNAcentral lists this long non-coding RNA (516 nucleotides) under Cyanistes caeruleus (blue tit). Its description in RNAcentral is "lncRNA (ENSCCEG00000013392.1)". Lineage: Eukaryota; Metazoa; Chordata; Aves; Passeriformes; Paridae. The record is from RNAcentral.
UCCUUUGUUUUGUGCCAGUCUUGCAUGGAUUGCUGGAUCAUGCAAUUGGGACCAGAUGAGUGAUUGAACUGGCUUUUACUUUUUGCUUGACUGCCAGGUUUAACAGUGGAUACAACAGUCCCAUAACUGUGACAACAUCUGGCCAUCUUGGCAGGGCAAGUCUAGUCUCUCUGCAUUGCUUUAUCCUACCUUCUGGAAGUGCAUAAGACAGGCAAAAGAGCAGUAUCAAACUUGAAUAAAUCAACUAUGGAUGCCCGUUUUUUGAAUAAGUUUUGAAUAUUCUGCUGACAGACUGAUUUCUUCAUCUUAAUGGUGAUUUUCCAGCUUAGUAAAGUUUUCCCUUUGUUUCUGCAUUCCAAAGAGGCUCCAGCUGCACACCUCAUAAGCUGGUGUUAUAAAGAGAAGCUCAAGAAACUUUUAGAAAGUUCACAAGCUGGGAAUAUUUUCACUCAACACAAUAACAGGACCAUUCAUGUGCUUCUGCUGGGAGACAUAUCCUGUACUGCUUUACCUCUC